Molecule: ribosomal RNA, 531 nt
Filed under: uncultured bacterium
Lineage: Bacteria
Description: bacterial SSU rRNA
Rfam family: Bacterial small subunit ribosomal RNA
Source: RNAcentral
AGAGUUUGAUCAUGGCUCAGGAUGAACGCUGGCGGCGUGCCUAAUACAUGCAAGUCGAACGAGGUGGAUGGGAGCUUGCUCCUUGAUACCGAGUGCGAACGGGUGAGUAACACGUAGGUAACCUGCCCUUAAGCUUGGGAUACCCAGAGGAAACUUUGGCUAAUACCGGAUAACAACAGAGGAGGCAUCUCCUUUGCUUGAAAGGCCCUUUACGGGGUCACUUAAGGAUGGACCUGCGGCGCAUUAGCUAGUUGGUGAGAUAACAGCCCACCAAGGCGAGGAUGCGUAGCCGACCUGAGAGGGUGAUCGGCCACAUUGGAACUGAGACACGGUCCAAACUCCUACGGGAGGCAGCAGUAAGGAGUUUUCGGCAAUGGGGGAAACCCUGACCGAGCAACGCCGCCGUGAGUGAUGACCGGCCCUAUGGGUUGUAAAGCUCUGUUGUAAGGGACGAACGAUCGUUUAGGAAAUGAAACGGUUCUGACGGUACCUUACCAAGAAAGCCACGGCUAACUACGUGCCAGCCGCCGC